RNAcentral lists this non-coding RNA (247 nucleotides) under unclassified sequences. RNAcentral's name for it is "raiA RNA". It matches the Rfam family "raiA RNA". The record is from Rfam by way of RNAcentral.
UUCUUUCGGGUCUGUAGUUGCGGGGGCAAAAAGGCUCCUUAGUCCAUGGCAGAUGCGGUCAAAAGGAUCCACGUAAGUACGCGCCGCCCUAAUAUAGGCGCGUGCGAGCAUGGCGUAUCCUAGAAGUAAGUCGCACCUCCCGGCCGAUUUUUGCGGCAACGCCGCACUGGGGGAGAGGGCAGAGCGAAAUCAAUCGCAAAACCCCAGUGCGCGAGUGUGGGGGCAAAGACUAGGUCAGCCGAAAGAA